CAAUAGCGUAUAUUAAAGUUGUUGCGGUUAAAAAGCUCGUAGUUGGAUUUCUGCCGAGGACGACCGGUCCGCCCUCUGGGUGUGUAUCUGGCUCGGCCUGGGCAUCUUCUUGGAGAACGUAUCUGCACUUGACUGUGUGGUGCGGUAUCCAGGACUUUUACUUUGAGGAAAUUAGAGUGUUCACGGCAAGCUAUCGCUUUGAAUACAUUAGCAUGGAAUAAUGAUAUAGGGCGUAAGUUCUAUUUUGUUGGUUUCUAGGACGUACGCAAUGAUUAAUAGGGAUAAUUGGGGCAUUCGUAUUAACGCGUCAGAGGUGGAAUUCUUAGAUUGCGUUACGACGAACUACUGCGAAAGCAUUUGCCAAGGAUGUUUUCAUUGAUCAAGAACGAAAGUAUGGGGAUCGAAGACGAUUAGAUACCA
Molecule: ribosomal RNA, 420 nt
Filed under: uncultured eukaryote
Lineage: Eukaryota
Description: bacterial SSU rRNA
Rfam family: Eukaryotic small subunit ribosomal RNA
Source: RNAcentral